ACCAGACUCCUACGGGAGGCAGCAGUGGGGGAUAUUGCACAAUGGGGGAAACCCUGAUGCAGCGACGCCGCGUGAGUGAAGAAGUAUUUCGGUAUGUAAAGCUCUCUCAGCAGGGAAGAAAAUGACAGUACCUGACCAAGAAGCCCCGGCUAACUACGUGCCAGCAGCCGCGGUAAUACGUAGGGGGCAAGCGUUAUCCGGAUUUACUGGGUGUAAAGGGAGCGUAGACGGUUAUGUAAGUCUGGAGUGAAAGCCCGGGGCCCAACCCCGGGACUGCUUUGGAAACUGUGUAACUGGAGUACAGGAGGGGCAGGCGGAAUUCCUGGUGUAGCGGUGAAAUGCGUAGAUAUUAGGAGGAACACCAGUGGCGAAGGCGGCUUACUGGACUGUAACUGACGUUGAGGCUCGAAAGCGUGGGGAGCAAACAGGAUUAGAUACCCGCGUAGU
Molecule: ribosomal RNA, 447 nt
Filed under: uncultured bacterium
Lineage: Bacteria
Description: bacterial SSU rRNA
Rfam family: Bacterial small subunit ribosomal RNA
Source: RNAcentral